RNAcentral lists this ribosomal RNA (1165 nucleotides) under Euxinia sp. n. SL-2019. Its description in RNAcentral is "partial large subunit ribosomal RNA". It matches the Rfam family "Eukaryotic large subunit ribosomal RNA", at positions 359 to 1407 of the family's 3401-position model. Lineage: Eukaryota; Metazoa; Platyhelminthes; Prolecithophora; Pseudostomidae. The record is from RNAcentral.
GAAGCUGAAAAGAGCGUUAAAGAUUCAAUGCUUUGAUUCUUUAUACUUGUUGGAUGACAUCCGCAAGGAGUCUGAAAACAUGAUCUUUUUGAGAAUCAUUGUAUGCACUUUUUUAACGUUUAAACUGUGACCGAUGGUCGGCUGGUCUGUUGUUAAAGAAAGAUAGUGUCGGUCUUCGGAUCUUCAUGUUAUAGUCUUAAACACGGAUCUGGUUGAUCAUUGGAGACGGCGUGAUAUUAUACGGUGUUUGGCAGAUUGGUGACUCCUUGUGUCUGACUAAUAAUAGUCUUCACUUUGAUUUUGCUAGUUUGUCGAUCAUUGUUUAUAUUGCAAUAGUCUACAGUGUCUAAGUAGGUCACUCACCUGACCCGUCUUGAAACACGGACCAAGAAGUUCAGCAUGUGUGCAAGUCUAAGGGUCUUACGAAACCUGGAGGCGAAAUGAAAGUAAAGGCUUAGUUUACUAGGCUUAGAUGAGAUCCCUAAAACUUCGGUGGAAGGGCGCAUCAUCGGCCCGUAUCAAUAUUUGUGAAUAGAUGCGGAGCAAGAGCACAUAUGCUGAGACCCGAAAGAUGGUGACCUAUGCUUGUGCAGGUUGAAGCCAGAGGAAACUCUGGUGGAGGACCGAAGCGGUUCUGACGUGCAAAUCGAUCGUCAGACAUGAGUAUAGGGGCGAAAGACUAAUCGAACCAUCUAGUAGCUGGUUCCUCCUGAAGUUUCCCUCAGGAUAGCUGAAAUUCUUUUGUCCAGUCGUAUCCGGUAAAGCGAAUGAUUAGAGGUACUGGGAACUAAUAGUUCUCAACCUAUUCUCAAACUUUUAAUGGGUACGAUGUCCUCCCAGAUUAAUUUUGGCAGGACUUUGGAUGUGAAUUUCUAGUGGGCCAUUUUUGGUAAGCAGAACUGGCGCUGUGGGAUGAACCAAACGUUCGGUUAAAGUGCCAAACAUAACGCUCAUCAGACACCACAAAAGGUGUUGGUUGAUAUUGACAGUAGGACGGUGGCCAUGGAAGUUGGAAUCCGCUAAGGAGUGUGUAACAACUCACCUACCGAAUCAACCAGCCCUGAAAAUGGAUGGCGCUGUAGCGUUGGACUUAUACCGAACCGUUAUUGCAAUUUUUGUGCUUUAAAGCAAUAACGAGUAAGGAGGACACCGUGGUUGCGUCGAA